CCAGCAGCCGCGGUAAUUCCAGCUCCAAUAGCGUAUAUUAAAGUUGUUGCAGUUAAAAAGCUCGUAGUUGGAUUUCUGUUAAUAUUUUAUAUUAUUAGUUAUUAUUAUUAAUAUAAUAUUAACAUAAUUCAUAUUACUUUUUUUAAGUAUAUGAAAUUUUACUUUGAGAAAAUUAGAGUGCUUAAAGCAGGCWWUUGCCUUGAAUACUCCAGCAUGGAAUAAUAUUAAAGAUUUUUAUCUUUCUUAUUGGUUCUAAGAUAGAAAUAAUGAUUAAUAGGGACAGUUGGGGGCAUUUGUAUUUAACAGUCAGAGGUGAAAUUCUUAGAUUUGUUAAAGACAAACUAAUGCGAAAGCAUUUGCCAAGGAUGUUUUCAUUAAUCAAGAACGAAAGUUAGGGGAUCGAAGACGAUCAGAUACCGUCGUAGUCU
RNAcentral lists this ribosomal RNA (428 nucleotides) under Cryptosporidium sp. RNAcentral describes it as "SSU rRNA". The record is from RNAcentral. Lineage: Eukaryota; Apicomplexa; Conoidasida; Eucoccidiorida; Cryptosporidiidae.